UACGUAGGGUGCGAGCGUUGUCCGGAAUUAUUGGGCGGAAAGGGCUCGUAGGCGGUCUGUUGCGUCAGGAGUGAAGACUCGGGGCUUAACCCCGAGCCUGCUUCUGAUACGGGCAGACUAGAGGUAUGCAGGGGAGAACGGAAUUCCUGGUGUAGCGGUGAAAUGCGCAGAUAUCAGGAGGAACACCGGUGGCGAAGGCGGUUCUCUGGGCAUUACCUGACGCUGAGGAGCGAAAGUGUGGGGAGCGAACAGG
This 253-nucleotide ribosomal RNA is filed under the name uncultured bacterium. Its description in RNAcentral is "partial 16S ribosomal RNA". It matches the Rfam family "Bacterial small subunit ribosomal RNA", at positions 524 to 776 of the family's 1533-position model. The record is from RNAcentral.